RNAcentral lists this long non-coding RNA (210 nucleotides) under Elaeis guineensis (African oil palm). RNAcentral describes it as "long non-coding RNA (EGUI_LNC075464)". Lineage: Eukaryota; Viridiplantae; Streptophyta; Magnoliopsida; Arecales; Arecaceae. The record is from RNAcentral.
GCCCUUAUUCCGGUUCUUAGAUUAACAUUUCUGUCGGUAUCGCAGGGACACCUCCGAGGAUGCGGCCGACCGACGCCGAGAUCCGACAGUACGCAGCGAGGAAGAGGCCGGCAUCGGGGGCGGGACCUUCGCGUCCACCGAAGAAGCCCACCCCAGCGGCGCCGACCGUCGAAGCAUCGGCGACCGACCAGUCGGAGCCGGUAAUAGCGC